Molecule: long non-coding RNA, 779 nt
Filed under: Hordeum vulgare
Lineage: Eukaryota; Viridiplantae; Streptophyta; Magnoliopsida; Poales; Poaceae
Description: long non-coding RNA (HVUL_LNC014098)
Source: RNAcentral
GUGAUGGAAUAUUUAUUGAUAACAUGAAAUGCGCUUAGCAUAUCCUUUAAGCUCUAUCCAUGAAUGCAAAUCCUGCAGUUGCACUGGCCAAAGAAAAUUCUAUCGCACCAAUAUUGACGGACCUGGCCACUGAAAUGAAACAUGCAUGUAGCCUUGCAAUCAGGGUUGAUACAAAGCGUCCUCCGAUACCAAGAAAUCAAACAUUUCUCUGCGUACACAAACAUAGUAAAAAUAAAUACCAUAAGAGUGAGAGAUGGAUUGUAAUAACAAGAUUUUAUAUCAUUGAGUAAAAGUGAUAAGAUGUCAAAAGCCUCAAGGACAUACGCAGAAUGUGCAUCAAGAUCAUAUUAGAGAAAACUCUUGGUAGUACGAUUUUGAAAUCUUAUAAAGAUUUUUCAAGAUUCUUCAUUUGAAGUAACAUGUGCCCCGGGAAAUUUGGUUUAGAAAAACAAAAGAGAGAACACACCUGCAGACGUAGUGCUUCCGAACAACACAAGGAUCACCAAAAAACAAGCGGUGAUAGACCUUCCGUCCAUUCUUGAAUCACACGCUCCAACGAGAGCCAAAGGGUAAUCAAGCCUUUAAACAAAAUGCCAAAAGGAUAUGGAAUGGCGUGAAAUCUCGAAACUUCUAGACAAAGACAUAUAAAGUGAAUCCAUAAGAUAACAUUACCAAGUACAAAUGGGUUAUCUGUAAUGAAGCCAAAGUCGUGAUAUAUAAGUAAAGAAUAUAUGGAAUGAUAUCAUAUAUAUAGACUUUUAGAGGAAGGCAUAUAAAAG